GCUUGCUUUGGCAGGACAUUUAGUAAAGUAGGAAUGAUACAGAGAUUAGCGUGGCCCCUGCACAAGGAUGACAAGCAAAUUUGUGAAACAUUCUAUAUUUUU
Molecule: small nuclear RNA, 102 nt
Organism: Manis pentadactyla (Chinese pangolin)
Lineage: Eukaryota; Metazoa; Chordata; Mammalia; Pholidota; Manidae
Source: RefSeq, a predicted model, not a curated record